Molecule: ribosomal RNA, 367 nt
Filed under: uncultured organism
Description: bacterial LSU rRNA
Rfam family: Bacterial large subunit ribosomal RNA
Source: RNAcentral
CUUCACUGCAGCCUGGAAUUGUGUUCGGGCUUCGCUUGCGCAGGAUAGGUGGGAGGCACAGAAGUUCCCCUUGUGGGGGGAAUCGAGCCAACGGUGAGAUACCACUCUAGCGAGGCUAGAAUUCUAACCCUUGCCCGUCAGCCGGGAAGGAGACAGUUUCAGGGGGGCAGUUUGACUGGGGCGGUCACCUCCUAAAAGGUAACGGAGGUGUGCAAAGGUUCCCUCAGGCUGGACGGAAAUCAGCCGGAGAGUGCAAAGGCAGAAGGGAGCUUGACUGCAAGACCUACAAGUCGAGCAGGGUGGAAACACGGUCUUAGUGAUCCGACGGUGCCGCAUGGAAGGGCCGUCGCUCAACGGAUAAAAGUUA